UCAAACUUGGUCAUUUAGAGGAAGUAAAAGUCGUAACAAGGUCUCCGUUGGUGAACCAGCGGAGGGAUCAUUACUGAGUUGCAAAACUCCCAAACCCAAUGUGAACCUUACCUACACGUUGCUUCGGCGGACCCGCCCCGGCGCUUCGGCGACCGGACCCAGGCGACCGCCGGGGGAAAAACACAAACCCUUUGUAUUACACAGUGAAUCUUCUGAGUAAAAAAAAACAAAUGAAUCAAAACUUUCAACAACGGAUCUCUUGGCUCUGGCAUCGAUGAAGAACGCAGC
Molecule: unclassified non-coding RNA, 288 nt
Filed under: uncultured fungus
Lineage: Eukaryota; Fungi
Description: partial contains small subunit ribosomal RNA, internal transcribed spacer 1, and 5.8S ribosomal RNA
Rfam family: Eukaryotic small subunit ribosomal RNA (bases 1-73)
Source: RNAcentral